Molecule: ribosomal RNA, 554 nt
Filed under: Rhodotorula mucilaginosa
Lineage: Eukaryota; Fungi; Basidiomycota; Microbotryomycetes; Sporidiobolales; Sporidiobolaceae
Description: eukaryotic LSU rRNA
Rfam family: Eukaryotic large subunit ribosomal RNA
Source: RNAcentral
AAACUAACAAGGAUUCCCCUAGUAGCGGCGAGCGAAGCGGGAAGAGCUCAAAUUUAUAAUCUGGCACCUUCGGUGUCCGAGUUGUAAUCUCUAGAAAUGUUUUCCGCGUUGGACCGCACACAAGUUUGUUGGACUACAGCGGCAUAGUGGUGAGACCCCCGUAUAUGGUGCGGACGCCCAGCGCUUUGUGAUACAUUUUCGAAGAGUCGAGUUGUUUGGGAAUGCAGCUCAAAUUGGGUGGUAAAUUCCAUCUAAAGCUAACUAUUGGCGAGAGACCGAUAGCGAACAAGUACCGUGAGGGAAAGAUGAAAAGCACUUUGGAAAGAGAGUUAACAGUACGUGAAAUUGUUGGAAGGGAAACGCUUGAAGUCAGACUUGCUUGCUGAGCAAUCGGUUUGCAGGCCAGCAUCAGUUUUCCGGGAUGGAUAAUGGUAGAGAGAAGGUAGCAGUUUCGGCUGUGUUAUAGCUCUCUGCUGGAUACAUCUUGGGGGACUGAGGAACGCAGUGUGCCUUUGGCGGGGGUUUCGACCUCUUCACACUUAGGAUGCUGGUGG